Long non-coding RNA from Xiphophorus couchianus (Monterrey platyfish), 821 nucleotides. RefSeq lists it as uncharacterized. The record is from RefSeq and is a predicted model, not a curated record. Lineage: Eukaryota; Metazoa; Chordata; Actinopteri; Cyprinodontiformes; Poeciliidae. The transcript has 2 exons.
CGGUGGUUGGCUCAUGUGAAUUUGAACAAUAUUCACACAGGAGCUGAAGUUAAGAAGACAGACGCGGAUGUCACGAGGAAGUUCUGCCCAAGAAGAUGGACUGAUGUGUGGCAGCAAAGGUCUGCUGCCACUGAGCAUGUUUACGAAGGAAACCGAACCUGUUGUUUCAGAGACAGAAAUGGGAGGAGAAGAGAGAAGGAUGACUCCCCCUUUUUCAUGGUGAGCCCCGCUGAGUGAUCGCGUGUUUCUGCUCUGGGUUCUCCAGGCUGCAAAGUAAGUGACUGAUGGCACGGAUGAUGGAGAACUCCUGCUUCCAGACAGAAAGUCCACGGUGCUCCCCUCUGAGCCACCAUACCUCGGGCUGUAUGAAUACUGAACGCUAUGAGUGUGAGUGCUAUUACAUAACUCAGUCUCCACAGCUGGCAGCAGCUAAAUCAUGUUUUUUUUAACUUUCUCUUUGAACUGUACCACAGUUUCAGUCCGUGGGGGAUAAAUCAGCAGUUUUCUCAUCUGAUGAAAGUUUCCUGGUGAUAAAUUUAGACUUUGUCCCGUCUGCGGCUGCUUGUGAUACGAGGAGGAAAGCUGACCCUGUUCUGUCUGCAUUAUUAGGAUCAGAGGGUUUUUUUUUCUCAAAUAGCUGAGAGGAGGAGAUGUGGUGUCGAUAUCAUGCCUUUGCAUAAAAAAACAUACUCCACUGAUAGUUAGGAGAUGUGUAAAUAUUUUUCAAAGUGGAAUGAAACGUCAUGUGUGUUUUUCUUUUUUCUUACGGUGUUGGAGUUCUUUAUCCUUGAAGCAAAUUCCCGAAAUAAAAGCUAACUUGU